GACGUAGGGUGCGAGCGUUGUCCGGAAUUAUUGGGCGUAAAGAGCUCGUAGGCGGCUUGUUGCGUCGGCUGUGAAAACCCGCGGCUCAACCGUGGGCUUGCAGCCGAUACGGGCAGGCUAGAGUUCGGUAGGGGAGACUGGAAUUCCUGGUGUAGCGGUGAAAUGCGCAGAUAUCAGGAAGAACACCCGUGGCGAAGGCGGCUCUCUGGGACGGUACUGACGCUGAGAAGCGAAAGCGUGGGGAGCGAACAGG
This 253-nucleotide ribosomal RNA is filed under the name uncultured bacterium. Its description in RNAcentral is "partial 16S ribosomal RNA". It matches the Rfam family "Bacterial small subunit ribosomal RNA", at positions 524 to 776 of the family's 1533-position model. The record is from RNAcentral.